RNAcentral lists this ribosomal RNA (401 nucleotides) under uncultured bacterium. RNAcentral's name for it is "bacterial SSU rRNA". It matches the Rfam family "Bacterial small subunit ribosomal RNA", at positions 492 to 892 of the family's 1533-position model. The record is from RNAcentral.
UCCGGCUAACUUCGUGCCAGCAGCCGCGGUAAUACGAGGGGAGCUAGUGUGUUCGGAUUUACUGGGCGUAAAGGGAGUGUAGGCGGGCAUCUAAGUCAGAGGUGAAAUUUCGGGGCUCAACCCUGAACUUGCCUUCGAUACUGGGUGUCUUGAGUAUGGAAGAGGUCGAUGGAAUUCCUGGUGUAGCGGUGGAAUGCGUAGAUAUCAGGAGGAACGCCAAUAGCGAAAGCAGUCGACUGGGACAAUACUGACGCUGAAACUCGAAAGCAUGGGGAGCAAACAGGAUUAGAUACCCUGGUAGUCCAUGCCCUAAACUAUGGACACUAGAUAUCGGAGGAGUUAACCCCUUCGGUGUCGUAGCUAACGCGUUAAGUGUCUCGCCUGGGGAGUACGCUCGCAAG